Molecule: ribosomal RNA, 777 nt
Filed under: Streptomyces sp. B1Y64
Lineage: Bacteria; Bacillati; Actinomycetota; Actinomycetes; Kitasatosporales; Streptomycetaceae
Description: bacterial SSU rRNA
Rfam family: Bacterial small subunit ribosomal RNA
Source: RNAcentral
ACCUCCUUCGGGAGGGGAUUAGUGGCGAACGGGUGAGUAACACGUGGGCAAUCUGCCCUGCACUCUGGGACAAGCCCUGGAAACGGGGUCUAAUACCGGAUACGACCUUCGAGCGCAUGCUUGAAGGUGGAAAGCUCCGGCGGUGCAGGAUGAGCCCGCGGCCUAUCAGCUUGUUGGUGGGGUGAUGGCCUACCAAGGCGACGACGGGUAGCCGGCCUGAGAGGGCGACCGGCCACACUGGGACUGAGACACGGCCCAGACUCCUACGGGAGGCAGCAGUGGGGAAUAUUGCACAAUGGGCGAAAGCCUGAUGCAGCGACGCCGCGUGAGGGAUGACGGCCUUCGGGUUGUAAACCUCUUUCAGCAGGGAAGAAGCGAAAGUGACGGUACCUGCAGAAGAAGCGCCGGCUAACUACGUGCCAGCAGCCGCGGUAAUACGUAGGGCGCAAGCGUUGUCCGGAAUUAUUGGGCGUAAAGAGCUCGUAGGCGGCUUGUCGCGUCGGAUGUGAAAGCCCGGGGCUUAACCCCGGGUCUGCAUUCGAUACGGGCAGGCUAGAGUUCGGUAGGGGAGAUCGGAAUUCCUGGUGUAGCGGUGAAAUGCGCAGAUAUCAGGAGGAACACCGGUGGCGAAGGCGGAUCUCUGGGCCGAUACUGACGCUGAAGAGCGAAAGCGUGGGGAGCGAACAGGAUUAGAUACCCUGGUAGUCCACGCCGUAAACGUUGGGAACUAGGUGUGGGCGACAUUCCACGUCGUCCGUGCCGCAGCUAACGCAUUAA